RNAcentral lists this transfer RNA (73 nucleotides) under Dendronephthya gigantea. Its description in RNAcentral is "tRNA-Lys". It matches the Rfam family "tRNA". Rfam says of the family: Transfer RNA (tRNA) molecules are approximately 80 nucleotides in length. Lineage: Eukaryota; Metazoa; Cnidaria; Anthozoa; Malacalcyonacea; Nephtheidae. The record is from RNAcentral.
UCCCGGUUAGCUCAGUUGGUAGAGCAUCAGACUUUUAAUCUGAGGGCCAUGGGUUCGAGUCCCAUAUCGGGCU